AAGGAAUAUUGGACAAUGGAGGCAACUCUGAUCCAGCCAUGCCGCGUGAAGGAAUAAGGCCCUAUGGGUUGUAAACUUCUUUUAGACGGGACAAAACCCCUUUACGUGUAAAGGGUUGAUGGUACUGUCAGAAUAAGCAUCGGCUAACUUCGUGCCAGCAGCCGCGGUAAAACGAAGGAUGCAAGCGUUAUCCGGAAUUAUUGGGUUUAAAGGGUGCGUAGGCGGACUAAUAAGUUAGUGGUGAAAGACUGCAGCUUAACUGCAGAGUUGCCAUUGAUACUGUUAGUCUUGAGUACAGUUGAGGUAGGCGGAAUGUGUCAUGUAGCGGUGAAAUGCUUAGAUAUGACACAGAACACCGAUUGCGAAGGCAGCUUGCUAAGCUGUAACUGACGCUGAGGCACGAAAGCGUGGGGAGCAAACA
RNAcentral lists this ribosomal RNA (421 nucleotides) under uncultured bacterium. Its description in RNAcentral is "bacterial SSU rRNA". It matches the Rfam family "Bacterial small subunit ribosomal RNA", at positions 356 to 774 of the family's 1533-position model. The record is from RNAcentral.